This 104-nucleotide ribosomal RNA is filed under the name uncultured bacterium. RNAcentral's name for it is "partial 16S ribosomal RNA". It matches the Rfam family "Bacterial small subunit ribosomal RNA", at positions 1379 to 1482 of the family's 1533-position model. The record is from RNAcentral.
CCUUGUACACACCGCCCGUCACAUCAUGGGAGUUGGUUUUACCCGAAUCCGUUGACUUAACCGCAAGGAGAGAAACGUCUAAGGUAAGGCUGAUGACUGGGAUG